RNAcentral lists this long non-coding RNA (295 nucleotides) under Elaeis guineensis (African oil palm). RNAcentral's name for it is "long non-coding RNA (EGUI_LNC040468)". Lineage: Eukaryota; Viridiplantae; Streptophyta; Magnoliopsida; Arecales; Arecaceae. The record is from RNAcentral.
ACUUGAGUCCUUUGGGGUUAGUCACAAUGGUUCUUUUUGAAAUCCAUAUUUUUUUAAUAUUUCUAUCACCAAAUUUAUUUGAUAAACAUGAAUAAGCUUUAUGCCCUUCUUUGCCACAUUUAAAACAAGUAAUAUUUGGUAAUUUUUUUAUGGAUGCAUUGAUAAAAAUAUUUUUCAAAAAUUUUUAUUUUCUAAGAGUGUUAUACCCAAGUCUGACUUAAUCAUAUACAGCUUUUUGACUAUCAAUGAUCAUCUAAAGUUUGUUUGAACUUAAUGUAAAUCUAUCAACUAUAGG